Long non-coding RNA from Spinacia oleracea (spinach), 967 nucleotides. RefSeq lists it as uncharacterized. The transcript is spliced from 4 exons. Lineage: Eukaryota; Viridiplantae; Streptophyta; Magnoliopsida; Caryophyllales; Amaranthaceae. The record is from RefSeq and is a predicted model, not a curated record.
GUAAGGUCUGUUGAUAAAGGAAAAGCGCAUCAUUUGUAUUAUCUCUCUCCUCCUCACAUGGUCACUGACCUCAUUGCUGCUUCCCUCUCUGCUUAGCAUCUCCUUAUCUCUCCCUAGUCCCUACCAUACAUCUCCUUCUCCCUUCGAGGUCCAAUGGCGAUUGUUCUUGUUGCGACGGCGGAGCGGGUGGUGAAGGUGGUGCUUGUGACACUUCAAAAUCUUGCUUAGGGUUUCGAAUUUGGGGUUUUUAUUGAUGCCAUGAGGACACCAACAGCUACGAUGAACCUCAAGAACACGCUAACUAAAAAUAUAUACGGAGUAUGUUCAUCUUGGAGAUUUUCGGUACUCUCCAAAUAGUAGUAUGGCCAGGAGGUGCUCACUAAAGGAAGUGCCUGAAACAAGUUAAUUAGACAUAUUUAUGAUUUUAUCCAAGGAUUAGUAAGCACGCGCUGUGAUUGAAGUCUGACAUACCUGAACAACAUCAGCUGCAGCAUAACCAGCAGCCUGACCUCCCAUGAAGUGAAGGCCAUUCCUUAAACCACAGAGUAACCCUGGUUUCCGCUCGUCUCCUUCCUCCUCCAGUCUUGCUGCGGCUGCAGCUCUUGACUCUGUUCGCCAAGUGGAAGCGAAAUAUCCAGCUUUGCUUUUCAAGCAGCAGCUUACUGCAUACGUGGAGAAAAUGUAUGGCAUUAUUCGUGAUAACUUGAAGAGGGAGUUGUCAUCAUUAAUUUCCUUGUGUAUCCAGGUUUUCAAAACUCCAAGGGAGGGGCGCUUUACCAAAGAGGAGUUGGAUGAAGUUUGAGACAAGUGGGCUAUUUACUUCAACGAUUGUGAACUACCCUCAGUGUAAUAAAUAGAGCAUGCUUGUAGUUAUUCGUGACUCUUACAUUAUUUUGUUAUUUAUCGAUUUAAUUAAUUACAUUUGAAUUAGUUCGUUAAUAUUAUUGGAAAUUUGAAAUUUAUAUCA